This is a small nucleolar RNA of 129 nucleotides. Its record names the gene SNORA70. It matches the Rfam family "Small nucleolar RNA SNORA70". Rfam says of the family: snoRNA U70 seems to be exclusive to mammals and is a member of the H/ACA class of snoRNA which contain H (ANANNA) and ACA box motifs. H/ACA box snoRNAs are involved in the conversion of uridines to pseudouridines (5-ribosyluracil) a constituent of structural RNAs (transfer, ribosomal, small nuclear, and small nucleolar). The record is from Ensembl.
UUCCAAACAAGUUAGGCUCAAAAACAAGUAGAAUGUCCUGGUGUGCAAUGGCUGCAAACAGCAGCCUUUGUGGUAGUGCAUGCAGCCUGUUGCCUGUAUAGGUUGCCCUAAGGGACCUUGGAGACAGCU